UACAGAGGUCCCAAGCGUUGUUCGGAUUCACUGGGCGUAAAGGGUGCGUAGGUGGUGAGGUAAGUUUGAUGUGAAAGCUCCGAGCUCAACUCGGAAAUGGCAUUGAAUACUACCUCGCUAGAGGAUUGGAGGGGGGACUGGAAUACUUGGUGUAGCAGUGAAAUGCGUAGAUAUCAAGUGGAACACCAGUGGCGAAGGCGAGUCCCUGGACAACUCCUGACACUGAGGCACGAAAGCUAGGGGAGCAAACAGG
This 253-nucleotide ribosomal RNA is filed under the name uncultured bacterium. RNAcentral's name for it is "partial 16S ribosomal RNA". It matches the Rfam family "Bacterial small subunit ribosomal RNA", at positions 524 to 776 of the family's 1533-position model. The record is from RNAcentral.